AGGUAGAGGAAAAUGUGAUUUGGAGACAUAGACACACAUGGAGUGUGACGAUGGAGGCAGCGAGUGGAGCGAUGCAGCUGCCAGCUGAGGAGUGCCAAGGGUUGAUGGUCACCAUCGGAAGCUAGAGGAGGCAAGGGGGGCUCUGUCUGGAGUCUCAGAGGGACAGCAGCCUUGAUUUUGGACUUCUUGCCUCCAGAAAGCAGAAAUUCGCCUUUCCUGAUCACAUCACACUGAUUCCGGGACCAAGCAGGAUGUCACAGGUGGGGG
Molecule: long non-coding RNA, 267 nt
Filed under: Homo sapiens (human)
Lineage: Eukaryota; Metazoa; Chordata; Mammalia; Primates; Hominidae
Description: HSALNT0404212
Source: RNAcentral